CAGCCGCCGCGGUAACACGAAGGGGGCUAGCGUUGUUCGGAUUUACUGGGCGUAAAGCGCACGUAGGCGGGCUUUUAAGUCAGGGGUGAAAUCCCGGGGCUCAACCCCGGAACUGCCUUUGAUACUGGAAGUCUUGAGUAUGGUAGAGGUGAGUGGAAUUCCGAGUGUAGAGGUGAAAUUCGUAGAUAUUCGGAGGAACACCAGUGGCGAAGGCGGCUCACUGGACCAUUACUGACGCUGAGGUGCGAAAGCGUGGGGAGCAAACAGGAUUAGAUACCCCGGUAGUCCCUGUCUCUUAUAC
This 301-nucleotide ribosomal RNA is filed under the name uncultured bacterium. Its description in RNAcentral is "partial 16S ribosomal RNA". It matches the Rfam family "Bacterial small subunit ribosomal RNA", at positions 509 to 807 of the family's 1533-position model. The record is from RNAcentral.